This 794-nucleotide ribosomal RNA is filed under the name uncultured rumen bacterium. RNAcentral describes it as "bacterial SSU rRNA". It matches the Rfam family "Bacterial small subunit ribosomal RNA", at positions 28 to 830 of the family's 1533-position model. The record is from RNAcentral.
AUUGAACGCUGGCCGGCGUGCCUAACACAUGCAAGUCGAGCGAGAAACUUUUGUGAUGAAGCUUCGGUAGAUUCUUUAAAGUGGAAAGCGGCGGACGGGUGAGUAACGCGUAGGCAACCUGCCCUUAGCAGGGGGAUAGCCAUUGGAAACGAUGAUUAAAACCCCAUAAUGCAGAGAGUUCACAUGUAUUUUCUGCCAAAGAUUUAUCGGCUAAGGAUGGGCCUGCGUCUGAUUAGAUAGUUGGUGAGGUAACGGCCCACCAAGUCCACGAUCAGUAGCCGACCUGAGAGGGUGAUCGGCCACAUUGGAACUGAGACACGGUCCAAACUCCUACGGGAGGCAGCAGUGGGGAAUAUUGCACAAUGGGCGAAAGCCUGAUGCAGCAACGCCGCGUGAAGGAUGAAGGUCUUCGGAUCGUAAACUUCUGUCCUUGGGGAAGAAACAAAUGACGGUACCCAUGGAGGAAGCCCCGGCUAACUACGUGCCAGCAGCCGCGGUAAUACGUAGGGGGCAAGCGUUAUCCGGAAUUAUUGGGCGUAAAGAGUGCGUAGGUGGCUACCUAAGCGAGAGGUUUAAGGCUAUGGCUUAACUAUAGUUCGCCUCCCGAACUGGGCAGCUUGAGUGCAGGAGGGGAAAGCGGAAUUCCUAGUGUAGCGGUGAAAUGCUUAGAUAUUAGGAGGACACCAGUGGCGAAGGCGGCUUUCUGGACUGAACUGACACUGAGGCACGAAGCGUGGGGAGCAACAGAUAGAUACCUGUAGUCACGCCGUAACAUGACACUAGGUGUCGGGGCG